RNAcentral lists this long non-coding RNA (421 nucleotides) under Melopsittacus undulatus (budgerigar). Its description in RNAcentral is "lncRNA (ENSMUNG00000018013.1)". The record is from RNAcentral. Lineage: Eukaryota; Metazoa; Chordata; Aves; Psittaciformes; Psittaculidae.
CCCUCAGCCUUGAUGCUGCUCCUGUCUGCACGUGAUCCUCCAGAGCAAGACCAGAGGCAAUCCAGGGAAGACUGCUGGGAUGAAUACCUUCCAUCCUCUCCCUAUGUACCAGAAAUGGGAUCGUCUGACAGUGCCCAAUGGGCUGGAGGCCGUGAGCAUGGAGAGCAAGGGCUGCCUGAGCAGCGGACGGUGAAGAGACAGAUGGGACAUCGUUGGAACGCAGGCCCAAGGAGAGGCCCCGUGCAGGGACAGGUCGAGCACCCCGGGAUGGUCCCUGAAGAGAGCUGCGAUUCCAGAAGGGAUACGACGUUUGGGAUGGACUCUGGACAGGUAUAAGAACCCCCUCCCUCCCCCUAGCCCCUCCCCUCGAGAGCAGAGGGAAGGGGUUGGGGGGACGGAAGGGGUUAGGGGAGGGGAUGGG